RNAcentral lists this long non-coding RNA (661 nucleotides) under Pan troglodytes (chimpanzee). RNAcentral's name for it is "lincRNA". Lineage: Eukaryota; Metazoa; Chordata; Mammalia; Primates; Hominidae. The record is from RNAcentral.
UACAAGGUAGCCGUUUGGCGUCGUGAGGUAUGGAUGUUCCCAUCCCUAAUUUGCAAAAUAGGUAACUGAGGCUCAGGAGAGCUAGACUAGUUUGUGCACAGCCGAGAAGUGGUCAAGCUAGAAUGGGACCCCAGGUUUGUGCUCCCUGCUCUCCACCGAUAACCUAUCAAAGGGCUUUGCAAGAGCUUUUGACUAAUCGUCUGUCAAUGGUUCUUCAUUCACGUAUUAAUUGCACAUCAGUAUGUGCCAAAUCUACUAGACAUUGGAGAAACAGUAGGAACAACACAUGGUACCGGCACAUGGAUCUUUCAGGAAAACGAAGUAGGUAAUAAACAGGAAAAAGCCCGAGUCUGAUGCUAAGAAGAACAUAAACAGGAUGCUGAGAGAUUGGGUCUCUCCACAUUGCCCCGGCUGCUCUCCAACCCCUGAGUUCAAGUGAUUCACCUCCCUUGGCCUCCCAAAGAACUGGGAUUACAGACGUGAGCCACCGUGCCUGGCUGAGAAGAUGGAUUUAAGAUAUGUUUUGGAGUAAAUUUAAGUGUGGCUCUGUGCCUAUGCUCUCCCCAGCGGAAAGUGAGCAGAAGAGGUGUGCAGUUUCCAGGCCUGGCCCAUACAGACCUCCAACAGGUGCUCCCCUGUGCUGUUACUCCUUCUGCCAACU